This 1449-nucleotide unclassified non-coding RNA is filed under the name Rhipicephalus microplus (southern cattle tick). RNAcentral's name for it is "uncharacterized LOC119180680, transcript variant X3". Lineage: Eukaryota; Metazoa; Arthropoda; Arachnida; Ixodida; Ixodidae. The record is from RNAcentral.
AUUCUGGCGCAAAUGCGGCUGCGGUGUUUUUAAUCUUUUCUCGCACGCUUUACCGAAAUUGCGCGCGCUUAUUUUUGGUAAACGCUCGGCCACGAAGGCAGAGGAGCCCGUUAAGAGUCUCUGAUUUACUCCUUUCCCUUGAUCGGUUGAAAAACCGCGCUCCCCGGCAUCUCAAAGGCGCAUCAGGAGCACGAAGUGAGAACGUCCACUAAGGUUGAAAGUUUUCAAGUCAAGGUGGUAUAUACACUGCCCUGUAAACCCCAAGUGCCUGUAGUUCAGGGGAUGUGCCUCGCUCCGGAUGCUGUCAUGCCAACUGCUUGGAAAUAUUGAUACAUAAAGACAAGAAAAGCAACAUUUCAAAGUGGUCUGCUUGCUCGGUUGGAACUGGAGAACUAAGGAUUGCAACACCCACGAAGCAAACAAGUCUGAUGAAAUACUUCAUGUCAUUAAGUGGAUAACCACGGCCAUGUGUGGUAUCGUGAACAAAUGUGGCUCCUCCACAUUGUGUGGAUCAGCAAGUUUAGCAAAGAAGAUGCAAGGACUCUCGCUGUGCAAAAUUGGGGAGGACACUGAAGAUGGCUGCAACUUUAUAAAUAUUACAAAAGCUAAAUGCUGACAUUCCAACGCAACUGUGCCAUGGCAGAGAUUUGCUGCAUGUUGGGCUAUGUUUGGCUCAUGUGCUCAUGGGAGCCUCAUCUACUGAUGGAGAGCACUUUCUGUGUGGAAGCUUCUUAGGUUUUUCUGUUGGAGUAUCUCUAUUGAAAAUUAUGAAGAGAAAAAAUGUGAUUUUACCAGUGCAAAAUACGAGAAUUAAAUUUGCUUUGAAAGUUCUUACUGUUAAUUGCAAAUUUUAAUGUGAUCUCAGUUUUCUUUAAAGUACUGUGAAAUGUGUAAACAGCUGUGAGAAAUUCAGAAGUGAAUUUUUAGCUGAAAUUCCAGAAACAUGUGAUGUGCACAGUGUCAUCACUCUACAUAAUUAUUUGUGUCCUUCUGAAAUAUUCUUGAAAAUAAUUUUAUUAAAGCUGUUAAACCUGGUUUGAACAAUCUAUGUUGUAAAAAUGUAUAAUUUCCACAGCAAUAAUAUUGCUCUAUCUGUGUAUAGUACUUAUGUCAUCUUGCAUAUUAACUCUAAUCCUGAUGAAAGUAAACUAGGCAGUCUGCAGUCAUUCAACUCUGCAUGCAGCAAGCAUCGUGCUAGCUUGCUACAUUCCGGUGGUAACAUAGCUUUGAGUCUUUUUUUAACAAAGUGUUGUGAUCUUCAAAUAAUUGUGCUUUGUGGUGUAUUUUUUUUUGUGUAUGAAUGUUUUGUGGCAAUGUCUGAGUAGUCUCUUAUAUUGUAAUUAGCUGUUGUGGAACUUAUUAGAUCUCUCACCUGGAACAAUUAGUUCUCUCAUCUCAUCAGUACUUUCAUCCAGAUGUCUCUCAGUUAUAAAUGGCAUGUACCUUCAU